This 465-nucleotide ribosomal RNA is filed under the name Vreelandella stevensii. Its description in RNAcentral is "partial 16S ribosomal RNA". It matches the Rfam family "Bacterial small subunit ribosomal RNA", at positions 338 to 795 of the family's 1533-position model. Lineage: Bacteria; Pseudomonadati; Pseudomonadota; Gammaproteobacteria; Oceanospirillales; Halomonadaceae. The record is from RNAcentral.
CCUACGGGAGGCAGCAGUGGGGAAUAUUGGACAAUGGGGGGAACCCUGAUCCAGCCAUGCCGCGUGUGUGAAGAAGGCCCUCGGGUUGUAAAGCACUUUCAGUGAGGAAGAACGCCUGGUGGUUAAUACCCAUCAGGAAAGACAUCACUCACAGAAGAAGCACCGGCUAACUCCGUGCCAGCAGCCGCGGUAAUACGGAGGGUGCGAGCGUUAAUCGGAAUUACUGGGCGUAAAGCGCGCGUAGGUGGCUUGAUAAGCCGGUUGUGAAAGCCCCGGGCUCAACCUGGGAACGGCAUCCGGAACUGUCAAGCUAGAGUGCAGGAGAGGAAGGUAGAAUUCCCGGUGUAGCGGUGAAAUGCGUAGAGAUCGGGAGGAAUACCAGUGGCGAAGGCGGCCUUCUGGACUGACACUGACACUGAGGUGCGAAAGCGUGGGUAGCAGACAGGAUUAGAUACCCGGGUAGUC